UCAUCUGCUGGAAGACGCUUGGGGAUGGGGCAGGAAAUUGGGACGUAGACUGUGGAACCCACCCGAGGGAUCUGGAGCUCCUGCUGAGUCUGGGCCCCACAGAUGCUUCCUAAUGAUCCCUCUAAUGAGGCGGGCCAGGACUUGGAGGUCUGGAUGUCUUCUGCCCAGCAAAUGAGGCAAUAUUUGAAAACAUGGCAAAACAGUGGGAGUUGAGGAGCCUGACCCAGAUGAUUGGCUGAAUGAAAUCCAGGCCAGAGCUAGCUCCUCACCAACUAAACACAGGAGCUCCUAAGCCUGUUUGGACUUCUUACUCUCGGGAGGUUUCUGCAACCCGGAUCUGCAGGUCUCCAGUUUUCUUCCUUUAGGGCGAAGAGGUCAACACAGUUGGUCGUCCACAUCUAUUGGUUCUAUGUCUGUGGUUUCAUCCAAAGUGCGAGUAGAAUCGUUCAGAAGAAGUUUGUCUCCCCUGAACAUGGACAGACUCUUCCUGCCAUCACAUCCCAGACGACAGUUCUACUCAUGGGAUUGCCUGAGCCUUUAAGCCACAGAGCAGCAGAUGUGGCUGGUAGGAUGGACGCAAUCAGCAGAGCUUCUGCUGCCCCUCAGAGGAGAGGGUCCCACGUCCCUUCCGUACAGUGGUGACGGUUCCUCGUCCCUUCCCGACAGCCUGUAGAGGCCUGAGCCCAGUUGUCUCUGAAGCCUGUUCCUAGGAUUCCCUGGCCUCGUCGUUGGCUCUGGAACUCACCUGAUGCUGUAGA
This is a long non-coding RNA of Mus musculus (house mouse), 758 nucleotides long. RefSeq annotates it as predicted gene 12236. NCBI's taxonomy places the organism in Eukaryota, Metazoa, Chordata, Mammalia, Rodentia, Muridae. The record is from RefSeq and is a predicted model, not a curated record. The transcript is spliced from 5 exons.